Long non-coding RNA from Oreochromis aureus, 709 nucleotides. RefSeq lists it as uncharacterized. Lineage: Eukaryota; Metazoa; Chordata; Actinopteri; Cichliformes; Cichlidae. The record is from RefSeq and is a predicted model, not a curated record. The transcript is spliced from 2 exons.
CACAGAUGACACAUUUGGCGUUUUUUUUUUUUUUUUUUUUGCUGGUUUGUCGGUAGCAGCUCCUGAAACGCAAGACUGCCACACAUCUGUUCGACCAACGCCAGUUGAUCUGGAACACCGGCAAAUCCGCUAUUUUUUAUGGAAACAGGCAUUUCUUUUAUGUUUAUGUGGCUGCAGCUGAUGACGGCGACACUAGCAAUUCGUGUUAUAAAUCCACAUGCCGCUGCUCCUCGUCAGCAGGCCGGGUGAGAAGUAUGGUCUUCACCAAACCUCCACAGGAGCUGCUCAGCCGAGUUGCUGCCUUCACUCAGGCACAGAGGGUAUCCACGCACCUUCACGUGGUGCUUUCGGUGGCUCGUUACAAAUGAUGUGAGAUAUACGAAGUAGUAAGUGUAUCGUGUAUUUAAUAUCAUACUAGGCAGAUUUACUGCACUGCCAUUUACUACACAUUUACCCGUGUAUGGCUAUUGUCAGUACAUGUUGCUCGUAAACUUUCUUUAAGUGUGUAACAUUCACGAUGAUGUUGUUGAUGGUAACGUGUAUGAUUCCAGCGUACCUGACAGGCACUUUUGACUUUUUGUACACAGUUGAUUAUGUAAAGCCCCUCACAUUGCAUUUAUAAACAAGUUCACUGAUUGACUAUCCUGCAGUGCUGUUUUCCUGUAUCCCUGUUUCCUCCACUUUAAUAAAGUGUCCUGUGUUACAGUAA